ACAGUCACACAUUAGAUACCCCUGUAGUCCCAGCCGUAAACUAUGCGCGUUAGGUGUAUCGGUGACCACGAGUUACCGAGGUGCCGAAGGGAAACCGUGAAACGUGCCGCCUGGGAAGUACGGUCGCAAGGCUGAAACUUAAAGGAAUUGGCGGGGAGCACCACAACGGGUGGAGCCUGCGGUUUAAUUGGACUCAACGCCGGGAAGCUCACCGGAUAAGACAGCGGAAUGAUUGCCGGGCUGAAGACUCUGCAUGACUAGCUG
Molecule: ribosomal RNA, 264 nt
Filed under: uncultured archaeon
Lineage: Archaea
Description: partial 16S ribosomal RNA
Rfam family: Archaeal small subunit ribosomal RNA
Source: RNAcentral